UACAGAGGUCCCAAGCGUUGUUCGGAUUCACUGGGCGUAAAGGGUGCGUAGGCGGUCGGGUAAGUCUGAUGUGAAAUCUCCAAGCCUAACUUGGAAACUGCGUUGGAUACUAUCCGGCUCGAGGAAUGGAGGGGAGACUGGAAUACUUGGUGUAGCAGUGAAAUGCGUAGAUAUCAAGUGGAACACCAGUGGCGAAGGCGAGUCUCUGGACAUUUCCUGACGCUGAGGCACGAAAGCCAGGGGAGCAAACGGG
This 253-nucleotide ribosomal RNA is filed under the name uncultured bacterium. Its description in RNAcentral is "partial 16S ribosomal RNA". It matches the Rfam family "Bacterial small subunit ribosomal RNA", at positions 524 to 776 of the family's 1533-position model. The record is from RNAcentral.